GAGGAAUAUUGGACAGUGGAGGCAACUCUGAUCCAGCCAUGCCGCGUGCAGGAAGACUGCCCUAUGGGUUGUAAACUGCUUUUAUACGGGAAGAAACACCGCUACG
Molecule: ribosomal RNA, 106 nt
Filed under: uncultured bacterium
Lineage: Bacteria
Description: partial 16S ribosomal RNA
Rfam family: Bacterial small subunit ribosomal RNA
Source: RNAcentral